ACGGGAGGCAGCAGUGGGGAAUAUUGGACAAUGGGGGAAACCCUGAUCCAGCGACGCCGCGUGAGUGAAGAAGUAUUUCGGUAUGUAAAGCUCUAUCAGCAGGGAAGAUAAUGACGGUACCUGACUAAGAAGCCCCGGCUAACUACGUGCCAGCAGCCGCGGUAAUACGUAGGGGGCAAGCGUUAUCCGGAUUUACUGGGUGUAAAGGGAGCGUAGACGGCUUUGUAAGUCUGAUGUGAAAGGCAGGGGCUCAACUCCUGGACUGCAUUGGAAACUACAGAGCUUGAGUGCCGGAGAGGUAAGCGGAAUUCCUAGUGUAGCGGUGAAAUGCGUAGAUAUUAGGAGGAACACCAGUGGCGAAGGCGGCUUACUGGACUGUAACUGACGUUGAGGCUCGAAAGCGUGGGGAGCAAACAGGAUUAGAUACCCUGGUA
Molecule: ribosomal RNA, 434 nt
Filed under: uncultured Lachnospiraceae bacterium
Lineage: Bacteria; Bacillati; Bacillota; Clostridia; Lachnospirales; Lachnospiraceae
Description: partial 16S ribosomal RNA
Rfam family: Bacterial small subunit ribosomal RNA
Source: RNAcentral